Molecule: small RNA, 499 nt
Filed under: Pongo abelii (Sumatran orangutan)
Lineage: Eukaryota; Metazoa; Chordata; Mammalia; Primates; Hominidae
Description: retained intron
Source: RNAcentral
GGAUCGGCUAUCCUAAACCAGCCCUGCUGCACUCCACCUUCUUCCCCGCCCUGCAGGGCGCCCAGACCAAAAUGAGUGCCAGCGACCCCAACUCCUCCAUCUUCCUCACCGACACGGCCAAGCAGAUCAAAACCAAGGUCAAUAAGCAUGCGUUUUCUGGAGGGAGAGACACCAUCGAGGAGCACAGGCAGUUUGGGGGCAACUGUGAUGUGGACGUGUCUUUCAUGUACCUGACCUUCUUCCUCGAGGAUGACGACAAGCUCGAGCAGAUCAGGAAGGUGAGCAGGGAGCCCCAAGGUCCCACAGCUGCCUCCAGCCACCCACUCCUGCCCAUGGGGCCUGGAAGGCUCCAACAGCCGGGCCUGAAGGGUUGGUCGAAGGUGCUCAACUGAAACAAGGUGAAAACUGAGUAGAGUCGCCCUCAUGGUUUUUAGACCUGGGCUCAGAAGCCUCAUGAACAAAUCACGAAAGAGCAGAUACAAAUUACUAUUCAUUUAGG